UUGUCUCUAGAAUCCAUAUUCUGUGAACUGUAAUUAUUUGAAGUAACGUGUGGAUGAUGAGAUAGAACUUUUAAAUUUUAUGGACUACAAAGCGCUAAAUCUAAAAUCCUAAAGAUUAAAUAUUCAUGAAAUAUUGGAAGCGGCAUAAUAAAAGGUACAUCAGUAGCAUAAUGAAAUUAAGGCUCCUUAGUUCAUUUCUGCAUAUUGCUAUUGUAUCUCCCAAAUUGAAUACCCAUCUCCUUUAAGAACUGUGUCAUUCAUUUCCAGCUACUACGCAAUGGGACAUCCUUCACUAUGCAAAGGCUGAGUUUUUUAACUGUAAAUUUUCUUGAACUUCCUUGUCACUGUCUUUGGCAAGUGGAAAUUGGGCCUUAAUAUUUAUAAAAAUGAGGGGAUUAAUCCCUUUGACAUUGGACAUGAGAAAAAUACACAUGUGAAUAGUGAAAUAAAAUUUCCGGUGAAAGAGAUAGAAUGAGUAAAGGACAUAUAAUUAAGAAGCACAUAUAAAUCUAAGGCUAGAUGCAGUAUCAACCUCAUGAGGGUGGUCCCCUCAAAAGGUCCAUAAGAAGGAUCCUACCUAGGCGUUUUAGGCUCCCCAAAACUCAAGAGAAAGUCAUGACCAUCAUCUGGAGAAAAGGGUAAUUUGAACCAAUUUAAAGUUCUUCUUGCUGUAAACUCCUGAGUCUUGACUCUUAACAGAAUUCAUAUUCUCCAUCUACUUACAUUGGAGAUCACAUUUGGUUGCAAUGAAUCCAGAUUGCAAGGAAGGGGCAGCCCUUUGGGACCACCAUACAUAUUUUAGUUGCUUGUUGAUGGACUAGCAUCUUUACUUAUAAUUGAUUGGGGC
Molecule: long non-coding RNA, 847 nt
Filed under: Manihot esculenta (cassava)
Lineage: Eukaryota; Viridiplantae; Streptophyta; Magnoliopsida; Malpighiales; Euphorbiaceae
Description: long non-coding RNA (MESC_LNC004997)
Source: RNAcentral